AACGUGGAUCCGUAAUCCGGGUUGCGGACAGUGUCUGGUGGGUAGUUUGACUGGGGCGGUCUCCUCCUAAAGAGUAACGGAGGAGCACGAAGGUUGGCUAAUCCUGGUCGGACAUCAGGAGGUUAGUGCAAUGGCAUAAGCCAGCUUGACUGCGAGCGUGACGGCGCGAGCAGGUGCGAAAGCAGGUCAUAGUGAUCCGGUGGUUCUGAAUGGAAGGGCCAUCGCUCAACGGAUAAAAGGUACUCCGGGGAUAACAGGCUGAUACCGCCCAAGAGUUCAUAUCGACGGCGGUGUUUGGCACCUCGAUGUCGGCUCAUCACAUCCUGGGGCUGAAGUAGGUCCCAAGGGUAUGGCUGUUCGCCAUUUAAAGUGGUACGCGAGCUGGGUUUAGAACGUCGUGAGACAGUUCGGUCCCUAUCUGCCGUGGGCGCUGGAGAACUGAGGGGGGCUGCUCCUAGUACGAGAGGACCGGAGUGGACGCAUCACUGGUGUUCGGGUUGUCAUGCCAAUGGCACUGCCCGGUAGCUAAAUGCGGAAGAGAUAAGUGCUGAAAGCAUCUAAGCACGAAACUUGCCCCGAGAUGAGUUCUCCCUGAGACUUAGAGUCUCCUGAAGGAACGUUGAAGACGACGACGUUGAUAGGCCGGGUGUGUAAGCGCAGCGAUGCGUUGAGCUAACCGGUACUAAUGAACCGUGAGGCUUAACCUUACAACGCCGAAG
Molecule: ribosomal RNA, 719 nt
Filed under: Salmonella enterica subsp. enterica serovar Infantis
Lineage: Bacteria; Pseudomonadati; Pseudomonadota; Gammaproteobacteria; Enterobacterales; Enterobacteriaceae
Description: partial 23S ribosomal RNA
Rfam family: Bacterial large subunit ribosomal RNA
Source: RNAcentral